Molecule: non-coding RNA, 9175 nt
Organism: Podarcis lilfordi (Lilford's wall lizard)
Lineage: Eukaryota; Metazoa; Chordata; Lepidosauria; Squamata; Lacertidae
Source: the annotation of a GenBank genome assembly
CAGCAGUUUUCUUCUGACAUGGAGAAAGGGAAAUGCACUGCCUGCUGGAUUUCUGCUUUUUCGGGAGAAAAGGGAAACACGUGUAAGGUUGAAUCACGCAGGCAGAAGAUAACCAUGUUCUCCUUAUACAGGCAAGUACAGGGGUCGGUCUUUCCCAGACUUGUCUUUUGUUGUUGUUGUUUAGUCAUUUAGUUGUGUCCGACUCUUCGUGACCCCAUGGACCAGAGCACACCAGGCACUCCUGCCUUCCACUGCCUCCCUCAGUUUGGUCAAACUCAUGCUGGUAGCUUCGAGAACACUGUCCAACCAUCUCGUCCUCUGUCUUCCCCUUCUCCUUGUGCCCUCCAUCUUUCCCAACAUCAGGGUCUUUUCCAGGGAGUCUUCUCUUCUCAUGAGGUGGCCAAAGUAUUGGAGUCUCAGCUUCACGAUCUGUCCUUCCAGUGAGCACUCAGGGCUGAUUUCCUUCAGAAUGGAUAGGUUUGAUCUUCUUGCAGUCCAUGGGACUCUCAAGAGUCUCCUCCAGCACCAUAACUCAAAAGCAUAAAUUCUUCGCCGAUGGUCCAGCUCUCACUUCCAUACAUCACUACUGGGAAAACCAUAGCUUUAACUAUACGGACCUUUGUUGGCAAGGUGAUGUCUCUGCUUUUUAAGAUGCUGUCUAGGUUUGUCAUUGCUUUUCUCCUAAGAAGCAGGUGUCUUUUAAUUUCGUGGCUGCUGUCACCAUCUGCAGUGAUCAUGGAGCCCAAGAAAGUAAAAUCUCUCACUGCCUCUAUUUCUUCCCCUUCUAUUUGCCAGGAGAUGCCAAACAUUGAACCUGGAACUUUUUGUGGGCAAAGCACCAGCCCUACCAUUGAACUACAUUCCCACCCUCAAAGCUUAACAGUAGGUGCCUGCAGAAGACCCAUUGUAAUAAUAAUAAUAAUUUAUUAUUUAUACCCCACCCAUCUUGCUGGGUUUCCCUAACCACUCUGGGUGGCUUCCAACAAAAUAUUAAAAAUACAUUAAGCUUUGCUUCAACAAAGCUUACGCAGAAGUCAAAUUGUAUCUGGUCUUUAUUGAGCAUUUGUUCCCUCUGCCGAGCAGUUAAAUGUCAAGGGGAAUUCAUCCUGGUGAGGUCUUUCCAUUGGUGAUUUGUUCACCCCAUGCAUUUCCCCGCCACGUUUCAGAAAGCAAAAACAGACACGGGUUUGUUUGCCUUUUAAAAAUAGAUUUGUUCAUAGAAUCAUAGAGGUGAGUCCUAGGGUCAUCUAGUCCAACCCCCUGCAAUGCAGGAAUGUCAGCAUCCAAGACAGACGGCUAUCCAACCUCUGUUGUGCUAGGUUGCCAGAGAACUGCAAUUCACUUCAGUUGCACAAACUUAAAUCUUCCUUCCUGCAAAAUAGUGGCAGUCUGGAAGUGCCCUAUAACUACAGUGGUACCUCGGGUUAAGUACUUAAUUCGUUCUGGAGGUCCGUUCUUAACCUGAAACUGUUCUUAUCCUGAGGUACCACUUUAGCUAAUGGGGCCUCCCGCUGCCACGCCGCCGGAGCAUGAUUUCUGUUCUCAUCCUGAAGCAAAGUUCAUAACCUGAAGCACUAUUUCUGGGUUAGCGGAGUCUGUAACCUGAAGCGUAUGUAACCUGAGGAACCACUGUAUUAGAAAUAAAGGCUCCAUCUUCAGGUGUGCUAUGCAAAACGGUCGAAGCUCAUCCCCAUAUGAACUGACCUGGACCCUGCGGUCAUCAUCUGAGGCCCUUCUUCAUGCGCCUCCUUCCACAGGAGGUCCCACAGGUGGCAACACGAGAACGGGCCUUCUCCGCGGUUGCUCAACAUUUGUGGAAUGCUUUUCCCAGAGAGGCUUGUCUGGUGCCCUCACUACGUAGCUUUGCACACCAGGCGAAAAUGUUUCUCUUCCACCAGGUCUUGGGCUGGUUAACAUUCUAUGGCCUUUUAAAUGUGUUGCUGGGAGGGGUUUUUUGUCUUGUUUUUGUCUUUGUGUUAUUACACAUUUGGUGUUUUCCUUUUGUAUUUUUAUGUUGCGAACCGCCCUGCGGGAUACAAAUUUAAAUGAUAAAAAUUUAUAUUUUGACAACAAUCUCCCAGCCCUAGGGGGAUUGAACCUGCAACCUUUUGCAUGAUGAGCACAUUCUCUUCCACGGAGUUAUAGCCUUUCCCAAGUUUCCUUGCAUUAAAAAAAGCCUGUCUCCUUUCAUAGUGUGGAAUUUUGCAACCACCGUUCCGGGGUUGUUUGGCGUGGUUUUUUGGUUGUGUGCCAACAGUACUGCUUCCCUUGAAAGGGACUUGCACUUUGUUUAUAAUCACAGACUAAGGCUGUGUGCAGUGCCAGAUUUACGUAUAAGCUAAACAAGCUAUAGCUUAGGGCCCCACUCUCUUGGGGGCCCCAAAAAAAUUUAAAGGGGAAAAAAACUGGAUGUACAUUUCCAAAAUAUAAGAUAAAAAACAAAUAAAAUAAAAGCUACAUACAGCAACAGUGUUUUGUUUUGUGUAGGCUUCUAUGAUGUAAGUAAUGAGCCCUGCCUGCUAGCCUGCUCCCUAAAAUAUAUUGCUCAUUUCUAUAUCAAUUACUUUGAUAAAAUACAUAUUUUGUUAUGUGCAAAUGGCUUUAGAUACCUAUGACGUCCAUAAAUUACCAUAUAGCAUAUAUUCAAUACAAAAAACAGCGACAAUUGGUUGUUGACAAAGGACAGCUGGACAUAUAAAGGGCCCCAUUCCUUUCAGUAGCUUAGGGCCUCAUCAAACCUAAAUCCGGCCCUGGCUGUGUGCACUCAACGUUAUAUUCUACAUGCAAUGCACAUUGAGGUCUUGUUUCUCCUACCUAGUCCACACACAACCCAGACCCAUGGCAUCUUUUAUGAAGAGCGUUUUCUCCAACCCGUUUCCUUCCAAAAAUAAAAGCUCAGUGCAGACUGAUCCUGCGUUACCACACAGUGUGUCCAUCUGAAAGUGGAUGGAGGUGGACUCAGCAUUGUGGGGUGUAUCCACACCUGCCCAGUGAUGUUGUGGGUGGGCAUACACCAAGAUCACAAUCACCACUCCCUUCCUUAUUCAUGGGUGGUAAGCAAAAGGUGUUGUUGUUGUUGUUUAGUCGUUUAGUCGUGUCCGACUCUUCGUGACCCCAUGGACCAGAGCACGCCAGGCACUUCUGUCUUCCAAUGCCUCCCGCAGUUUGGUCAGACUCAUGUUUGUAGCUUCGAGAACACUGUCCAACCAUCUCGUCCUCUGUCGUCCCCUUCUCCUUGUGCCCUCCAUCUUUCCCAACAUCAGGGUCUUUUCCAGGGAGUCUUCUCUUCUCAUGAGGUGGCCAAAGUAUUGGAGCCUCAGUUUUAGGAUCUGUCCUUCCAGUGAGCACUCAGGGCUGAUUUCCUUAAGAAUGGAUAGGUUUGAUCUUCUUGCAGUCCAUGGGACUCUCAAGAGUCUCCUCCAGCACCAUAAUUCAAAAGCAUCAAUUCUUCGGCGAUCAGCCUUCUUUAUGGUCCAAAGCGAAAGGUAUGGAUAAGCAAAUCAAGGGGUGGGUUUUCAAAUAUCUAUCAGGUUAUCAUAUCCAUCUUGGCAGAUGGCAGGAUUUGGAAUUAAACUAGCUUGAAAGCAGCAGGUGAGGGAUGAGCAUGCACAGCCCUGAGAAAAACUAAUUAUCUGCAUUGUAAACUGACGCAGCCCAGAGGCUACAAUUCUGUACUUACCUUGUUGUUGUCGUUUAGUCAUGUCCGACUCUUCGUGACCCCAUGGACCAGAGCACGCCAGGCACUUCUGUCUUCCACUGUACUUACCUACUUGAGAGCAAUCCCCCCACUAAACUCCACGGGAUUUACUUCUGAGUAGACAUGCCUAGGAUCGUGCCGACAAUAUCUGGGCUGUGAGAAAUUUUUUUUGUUGGGGGUUAGUGGUGAAAAGGGACUUGCAUAUGUUGAGAUCAGCCAUGAAGGUCUUGGCUCGUGAUUGAUUUUCCUAUAGAGAACCAGCUGAUUCCUCCAGGAACCAUUAUCCUUUUGAGACUAUCCUGGGGCUCCCUCUGGCGGCCACUUCAACUUGACUUUUGUGCAGCCCGGCGAACUGUCCCAUGAAGAGUGCAUCCACCCAUUUAAAGAAAUAAACACUGCAUUUAUUUAACGGGGAAUAUAUUGCUUCUCUGGCAGCUUCCCAUUGACACCUGGACCCAAUUCAAAAGGCUGAUUGUUGAGGACACGCGGAAAUUCACGAGCAAAGAGUGUGGGGAGGGGAGCACACUCACCAAAUCCCAAUUCCACUGUCCAUAUCCUUUAAGAACAUAAGAAGAAGCCAGCUGGAUCAGGCCAAUGGCCCGCCUAGCCCAGCAUCCUGUUCUCACAGGAGCCAACCAGAUGCCCCAAUGGGAAACCUGUAAGCAGAACCUCAACACAAGAGCCCUGUGAUUCCCAGAAACUGGUAUUCAGUGGCAUGAUCCCUCUGGCGGUGGAGGCAGAACGGAGCCCAGCAGGUGAGAGAACCUUCUUGGUGAGACAGCUUUGUGUUCCAGGAUCCCUCAUAGAAUCGCAGAAUUGGAAGGGACCAUGAGGGCCAUCUUGAGAGUCCCAUGGACUGCAAGAAGAUGAAACCUAUCCAUUCUUAAGGAAAUCAGCCCUGAGUGCUCACUGGAAAAACAGAUCGUGAAGCUGAGGCUCCAAUACUUUGGCCACCUCAUGAGAAGAGAAGACUCCCUGGAAAAGACCCUGAUGUGGGCAAAGAUGGAGGGCACAAGGAGAAGGGGACGACAGAGGAUGAGAUGGUUGGACAGUGUUCUUGAAGCUACCAGCAUGAGUUUGACCAACUGCGGGAGGCAGUAGAAGACUGGUGUGCUCUGGUCCAUGGGGUCAUGAAGAGUCGGACACGACUAAACGACUAAACAACAACAACGAGGGCCAUCUAGUCCAACCACUCUGCAAGUCAGGAAUCUUUCGCCCAACGUGGGGCUUGAACCCACAACCCUGAGGUGAAGAAUCUCAUACUCUACCGUCUGAUCCAUCUCAGUAGGGAUGGCCUCCCCAUGGUCUGUCCACCUGAGGGCUCCAUGUGUUGGUAGAAGGGAAGCAAGGUGUUCCCCAACACUGUUCACACAAACCUGCUUUAGCAGUUUCUAAAGCUCUGAAGACCCAGCAUAUCUUUAGAGAGGGUUAUCUCUUAUUAUUUAUUAGUUCGGUGGUGUCUCAUGAUACAAGGGUGCAAUUCUGUGCAAACCUAUUCAAAUGUGGACCCUGCUGAGUUGAGUUGCACUUACUCCUAGGUAAGUGUGUCGAUUGAAAUCUUAAGCCUUGUUUUUAUCUACAAAUGCUUUUUAGUUCUUCACUUUUGCUGCUUUCACCAAGAGUGUAGUAGUAUUUUCCUUGUUUCGUUCCCAGAUAACUGGUUUCAUCUAAGGGUUUGGUUCUGAAUUUGCUUAUAUUCUAUUGGACUAUUUUAAAUCGCUCAGAUAUUUGGAGAAAACAUCUAAUGAACCCCACUGCAAAACACAGCACACCCCCCCAAUAUAUUUUGACCGACCUGCCUUCCAAAAUGUGAUGAACUGGGGUAGUAAACAGAUUCUGGGAAUUUUAUUUAUUCAUUCAUUCAUUCACAACGUUUCAUCAGUUUCGAUCCCAGGGCAACUUAUAUCUCAAGCAUUUAAUUAAACGAAAAUUAGGCCACUGGUUUUAAACAAGCUUAAAACAAAACCAUAUAACCAGAGCAGCAGAUAGCACCUAUCCAUUUACUUCUGCUUUUGUCAAAUCAACUUUCUUCUAAUGGGUGAAGAGAUAAGAUUUUCAACAGGUGCUGAAAACCCACAAUCACACAACUUGCACCUCUGGGGGGAGCAAUAGGCUUACCUCCUCUUGAAAAAAUAUUAGCAGACGGACAUCUUACUUUUAUUUAUUUAUUACAUUUAUAUACAGUACCACCUUUUCCACCAAGGAGUUCAAGUGCAGGAUUCUUCCCUCCCCAUUUUAUCUGCACAACAACCCUCCGAAGUAGGUUAUGCAGAGAGACGGUGACCUUACGCAUGCCUCCUCAAAGCCCAGUUGAACCCAAUAAUGGGUUGCAGCCUCAGAAAUCCUGGAAAAUCAUAGUUGUAGAGUUUUAAGGUACUCCAAGGAUCAUCUAGUCCAACCCCCUUCAAUGCAGGAAUCCUGCCCACGGUCAUCCCUGGGUGGGCUUCUUGAACCACCAACCUUCUGGCUGACAGUCAGACACACUGACCCACUGCGCAACAGGAAUAAGCACAAUUUAAUUUAGUGGGAUUUACUUCCGAGUUAGACAUAAUACAGUGAUACCUCGGGUUACAAACUUAAUUUGUUCUGGAGGUCCGUUCUUAACGCAAAACCAUUCUUAACCUGAGGCGCGCUUUCGCUAAUGGGGCCUCCCGCUGCUGCCACGCCACAAUUUCAGUUCUCAUCCUGGGGCAAAGUUUGUAACCCGAGGUACUACUUCCGGGAUAGCGGAGUUUGUAACCCGAAGUGUUUGUAACCCGAGGUGUUUGUAACCCGAGGUAUCAUUGUAUAGGAUUGCAUUGUAAGCCAGCAAAGUUUUUACAGCAUGUGUAGCGGUACUGAUUUCCUGUUUGAAGGGAGGGAAGGCUCUGAUAACAGAGGAAUAGCAAAGGCCAAUUGCACACAGGUAUGCUUAAAUAGACGGGACGCGGGUGGCGCUGUUGGUAAAACCACAGAGCCUAGGACCUGCUGAUCAGAAGGUCGGCGGUUUGAAUCCCCAUGAUGGGGUGAGCUCCCGUUGCUCGGUCCCUGCUCCUGCCAACCUAGCAGUUCGAAAGCACGUCAAAGUGCAAGUAGAUAAAUAGGUACCACUCUGGCGGGAAGGUAAACAGUGUUUCUGUGCACUGCUCUGGUUCGCCAGAAGCGGCUUAGUCAUGCUGGCCACAUGACCCGGAAGCUGUACGCCGGCUCCCUCGGCCAAUAAAGCGAGAAGAGCACCGCAACCCCAGAGUCGGCCACGACUGGACCUAAUGGUCAGGGGUCCCUUUACAUUUUAUGCUUAAAUAAGUGGCACUGACGGAUGCAGAUAAGAGUAGGAGAAAAUACAGUUGGAGAAGAUACAGAGCAACCUCUUUAGAGGCAAAUUGACUCUUUUCAACACAGGAGGAGUGGGCUGCCUGUCUUAGAAGCAUCCAAAGUUCAAAAGAGCAAGUCCUUGAUGAACCAACCUUUCCAUCAGGCGAAUUGGACCAUGAUGACUUUAGCAUUAAAGAACUAGGAAUGGCCCAGUGAGGUUGCUAGGAACUUACAAGAUGUUGGGGCACAGGCCCAUGACACAAUUUGCCAAUGCACUAAUUUAUAUAGCUGCCUCUGGACAAAUUAAGGUGGUGGGUUCCUGGGAUCUUCACCAGCACUGCAAUUUGUAGGCAAAGUAAAAACAGGAACAAAGUCAUUUUAAGAAGGGAGGGAGAGGUGCAGGAAAUCAAGGGCUCAGCCCCAGAGACCUGAUCCACCCCAUAACCACAUCGGACCCAUUCUUCUCACACCAGGUGUUGCAAAGGGAGACCCUCCUAGUGACAGGCAGUGGAGGGGUAUUUCAAAUCUUGUAUGUGGGACAGGAAGAAGCAAUGCCCAAAUAUUCCAUCUCCUACCCAUAUGAAUGGAAUUCAGCUUCCAGGGAGUGGAACCAGGCAUUUGACUCAGAGUAGCCCUGCAGGCUGUGACUUGUUGGACUUUGGCCCGUCCACGUCAAUCAGUUAUCCAGUGGAGAUAAACCAUAUGAAGAUAACCAGAUUUUAAGCCACAAAGUUUCAUAAGUGUUUUCUGGUUGACCAAAUUCCCUGGGCAGGUUAUCUUCCCCUUUUAGACAUCUCCCAACAUUUAUUUGCACCAUCAGGAACAGGCUGGUCAUUUCGUUCUCAUUUACAGGUGGACAUGAGUUCUUCUUGGUUGAGCCAUCAACAGCCGACUGAGAACCAAGACUUACACUUGCUCUUCCGAUCUGCUGGGGUCCAGUCUCCUGACAGGCACCACCUGUGUGGAUUUGCAGCACCCGGCACAGAUGUAUUUCAAGAAACACAGGUAAGCACUCCCAGAGAUGAUGACUGUGACGAUGAUGAUAACGGUGGCACUGAAUGCGGGCGAUACCGUGUCCUCCAGUACAGAGUGGAGCCCCGCAGUGGCAGAGAAGGUCGGCAGUUCUGUGUUCUCCCCUAAGGAUGGAAGAGAAAGGCGAGACAGGGUUCGGUCAUUCUCUUUAGAGUACACUAGGAGUAGAAAACACGCUGGGAAAAUUGAAUUCAAAGAAGUUGUAUUCCCAACCCUUUGCGGACAACAGGACAGGCAGGUGAGGAUCAGGAUGGUGCCAAGUCCUAUAGUUGUCAACAACUAUAUGAAACACAUAAAGAAGACAGCAAGAAAGGAUUUAGUUAUACUAGAUCUAGGUUUCAAACGGAAGUGAUUGAAGGGAAAGUGAAACUACUGAAGGCCGCAUACAGCAUACUAUUAGAAUGGGAGAUGAAAGAUGAAGAGGUAAAAUCAGUUAUGAUUAAAUGAGCACAAGAUGUAGGUCACAACAUUAUGAUGGAAGAUUGGGUUAAAUUAUGGAAAACUGACUUAAAAUUUACAGAUUGUUCCCUAUUGAAGGAGAAUUACAUGAAGAUGAUGUACAGAUGGUACACAACACCAGUGCAGUUAGGGGAAAUGUACAAAACUAGUUCAAAUAUAUGUUGGAAGUGUAAGGAAAAGGAGGGGACAUUUUGUCAUAUGUGGUGGGAUUGUAAGGUAAUCAAAAAAUUUUGGGAAAUGAUAUACAACGAAUUGAAGAAAAUGUUCCAUUUAACAUUUGUUAAAAAAAUCGAGGCAUUUUUGUUGGGGAUUGUAGGGAAAGACCUGCCAAAAAAGUUGAAAAACAUCUUCAUGUAUGUGACAACGGCCGCGAGAGUUCUGGUAGCACAAGGAUGGAAGACUGAAGAAACCCCAACUAAAGAAUCAUGGCAAGAAAAAUUGAUGGACUAUGCAGAACUGGCAAAACUGACAUAUAAGCUACGGGACAAGGAUAACUGUGACUUUAAGGAUGAAUGGGAACCCUUUACAAAGUAUCUGAAGAUGCAACAAAGCGAACUGGACUCCUUGGCAGGUUUUGCAUAAACUUUCACAAACUUUUUAUUGAUAAUAAUCAGCUAAAUAGUUUGAGGAUCUAUACAACUUUGUAACAUGCAGAAAACAGCAUUCUUAGAGAAACCAAAAACUGGAACUGAG